Long non-coding RNA from Caenorhabditis elegans, 957 nucleotides. Ensembl annotates it as ncRNA. Its record names the gene linc-116. The record is from Ensembl. Lineage: Eukaryota; Metazoa; Nematoda; Chromadorea; Rhabditida; Rhabditidae.
AAUAAUGGUGUGCAAAUUUACCAUCUUUCUCUCAAGUACCAUAAAAUAAUGAUAGGUUCAAACGGCGUUGUUAACGAAUGACUCGAGCUCACAUUGGGCUAUCAAUAAUUUGAAAAUUCAGAUAAGUCUAAUCCAACCUAUAAAAUGCCGAAUAGGAGUGAAAGAGAGACUAUUCUUGAACGGAUGCAAAGAAGAAACUUCGUAAUAGUUAACAGAAAAUUGAUGUUCUUCAUACCACUGAUAUUCUGGCUUCUUAUAAUCUUGGACGUCUUCAAAGCACAUUAUGUUAACCAAGUACUCAUAUUUUUCAAUUCUUUUGGCUACAUAAUCAGCCAUCCAUCAUUCGACUGUAUGGGGUUUUACGAAAAGAAAUGUAUAAUUUCAGAGAUGAAGAUGAUUGUCCAGUUCAUUGUACGUGCCAAUUGCUUCAUGAUCGUUCUCAAUCAUUUCAAUCUCGUUUCCUUUGGAUUUUCAGAUAUGGCACAGGUUUUUGGUCCAUCUGCCGAAUUAAUGUUGGAGUUAUGGUAUCAUAACGUUUGCUCGGAAGAAUCGCUGAGCAGAUAAAUGGUUUAACGACAAUUGAUCUUUGAUGACCACUUUUUUCGAAUCCCACAACAGUACUACGAUAACCAAACAUUCAUUUAACUGACAUUAUGGAUUUUCAAAUAUAUCUGUGAAAUAUGGCAGCCCUCUGCAUUAUUUCCCAUUGACUAAAACCCCAUUAUCCCGAGUAAAAGCAGUGGGGGAAACCAGCGACAUCUUUUGAGCAGGUGUGCAGGUCAUAACUGCGACGAAAUUUGUUUUAGAUCUUUAUCUCCAUGAGCUGCACACCUACUCAACAUGGAUCGCGGUUCGACCGCUUGCAUAUUGUAGGUGUUCCCGAAGAGUACAUAUAAAAUACUAUGUAAAUGUCUGGACACCUAUUUAGAUGCAAUACUAAUAAAGAGGUUUCCCGAU